Gadus macrocephalus (Pacific cod) is the source of this 419-nucleotide long non-coding RNA. RefSeq lists it as uncharacterized. The transcript has 2 exons. Lineage: Eukaryota; Metazoa; Chordata; Actinopteri; Gadiformes; Gadidae. The record is from RefSeq and is a predicted model, not a curated record.
AUAUUAUGUAGCAGGGUGACCUGUAUUUCUCCCAUAUAUCUGUUUCAGACUCAGUCACCUCCCUUUUACCUGUAUUGUGACUUGUGCCACUACGCAACGGUUGCUCUACCGGAUGGCGUCAUAACUAAUCCCUGGCACUCAGCUGACAGUGGUGUUCCUGUCCGGGCCGUAUCUUUGGGAGGCGCGGUUUGGUGGUUUGCCGUGUACUUGCAUGUAGAUAAGUAGGGUGUUACCUGCUCAAUUCAUACAUUUUUACAAUUGUUUAUUAAUAGUAUUUUGUUCUAGGACCAGCAUUGGUGGAGUUGGAGACGGUCACAUUCUGGCGCUGGCGCUUCAGUGCUCCUAUUUUCAUCUCAUAGAAUAAUAACAUGACUUUUUUCAACCAUUUAAAAAUAAACUUUGUAGACUUGAACUGGAAA